This 429-nucleotide RNase P RNA is filed under the name Nitrospirota bacterium. RNAcentral describes it as "Nitrospirae bacterium (sediment metagenome) RNase P RNA component class A". It matches the Rfam family "Bacterial RNase P class A". Rfam says of the family: Ribonuclease P (RNase P) is a ubiquitous endoribonuclease, found in archaea, bacteria and eukarya as well as chloroplasts and mitochondria. Its best characterised activity is the generation of mature 5'-ends of tRNAs by cleaving the 5'-leader elements of precursor-tRNAs. Lineage: Bacteria; Pseudomonadati; Nitrospirota. The record is from RNAcentral.
GUGGAAGACCGGAUGGUCGCUCGGUGCAUUUUGCAUCGGGAGGAAAGUCCGGACUCCACGGGCAGGGCGCUGGGUAACUCCCAGGCGGAGCAAUCCGACACCAGCACCACAGAAAAUAAACCGCCGAUGGCCAAGGCGAUGGGAUCCCAUCUGGUCGCCGCGGCUCAGGUAAGGGUGAAACGGUGGGGUAAGAGCCCACCGCGGGGAUGGUGACAUCACCGGCAGGGUAAGCGUCGCCCGGUGCAAGGCCAAAUAGGAAGACAUGUGCACGGCUCCUCACUGGAGUCGUGCAGACCGACUGGCCCGGUCGAGGUCUUCGGGUAGGUCGCUUGAGGUUCGAGGUGACUCGAAUCCCAGAGAAAUGAUCAUCCAGGCAAAGAGGGCGACUUCUUUGCGGGACAGAAUCCGGCUUAUAGGUCUUCCAUCUAC